UGGAUUAUGAUUAUAUGUAGUAAUAGAUUGUUUUGAGGGUUCAAUUUUGGGAGAACAGUGGGAAAGAGAUAUAGAAUCUACUGUAUCCGUAGGGAUAGUAGUUCUAUUAUUGGUAAAUUGGAUUUCAAUAUUUCCAUCUGUAUGUUCUAUGAUUUUAUCUGGAAUAUUUUGUAUAGAUGUUUGAGAUGGUUGGUUCUCAUUAUGAAUGGACCAUGAUUUUGGUAACAUAAUAUCUGACCAAAAUAUUAUUUUUGGUAUGAUGGUAUUAGAUUUUUCUAUGUUGGUUUGGAAAAAUAUUGUUUGUCCUCGUGUGUCUACUUGAAGUACAUUGGGACAUAAAG
Molecule: long non-coding RNA, 341 nt
Filed under: Amborella trichopoda
Lineage: Eukaryota; Viridiplantae; Streptophyta; Magnoliopsida; Amborellales; Amborellaceae
Description: long non-coding RNA (ATRI_LNC000418)
Source: RNAcentral